AAGUCGUAACAAGGUAACCGUAGGUGAACCUGCGGUUGGAUCAUUAGCGAAAAUAGCCACCUGGGUUUGUAACCUGGGUGGGUUCGUUGGUUUGUGAAUUGUUUAUGUUUUGAGCAAGUUUGAUAGCAGGUUCAAGUUUUUUUCAAGACUUUUGAGUGCGCUUGUACUUGUCUCUUGUUGAUCGCAGAGUGAAAGAGUCCAAGUUAGAAUAGGGAGACAGCUGGUAUGAGGGUGAACCUCCGUGAGCUUUUGGCGUCUGAAUACCAUCAAUGUUGUCGAACCAUAAAUCACCUGUAUACUCUUGGGACUUGGAAGCUUAGCUUUCGUUAUAUAUAUGAAAAUGAAUUUUAAUACUGGCCUUUAAAAUCUUGUUGUAAUAACAAAAAAUACAACUUUUGGCAAUGGAUCUCUAGGCUCUC
This 419-nucleotide unclassified non-coding RNA is filed under the name fungal sp. Its description in RNAcentral is "partial internal transcribed spacer region". The stretch from base 1 to 46 matches the Rfam family "Eukaryotic small subunit ribosomal RNA", at positions 1786 to 1831 of the family's 1831-position model. The record is from RNAcentral. Lineage: Eukaryota; Fungi.